Molecule: unclassified non-coding RNA, 320 nt
Filed under: fungal sp.
Lineage: Eukaryota; Fungi
Description: partial internal transcribed spacer region
Rfam family: Eukaryotic small subunit ribosomal RNA (bases 1-46)
Source: RNAcentral
AAGUCGUAACAAGGUAACCGUAGGUGAACCUGCGGUUGGAUCAUUAAUAUAUUUUCUUUUUUUCUUUAGCUCAAGCUCUCGGGCUAGGCUAAGGAAGAAUUAACCCCAAUUGUGAACCAUUUAUUGUAUUUUUGGGUAAGGUACUUUAAGGUUAGCCCUUUUUGUUAAAUUUCUUAACGUAUUUAUUUAUGCGUUUUUAAGAACCUUACCCAACUUAUUUAAGCACUAGUAGUUAAACUUGUCUUUAAACAACUUUUUUAAAGUUAUAUUAUUAUAAUGAAAAAAAAAAACAACUUUUGACAACGGAUCUCUAGGCUCUC